AAAAAGCUCGUAGUUGGAUUUCUGUCGAAAACGGCCGGUCCGUACUAUGUGCGUGUAUCUGGUUCGGUUUUGGCAUCCUCGUGGGGAACGUAGCUGCGCUUGAUUGCGUGGGACGGAAUUCACGACUUUUACUUUGAGGAAAUUAGAGUGUUCACGGCAGGCAAGCGCCUUGAAUACAUUAGCAUGGAAUAAUAAUAUAGGACCUUGGUUCUAUUUUGUUGGUUUCUAGAACUAAGGUAAUGAUUAAUAGGGAUAAUUGGGGGCAUUUGUAUUAACGCGUCAGAGGUGGAAUUCUUGGAUUGCGUUACGACAAACUACUGCGAAAGCAUUUGCCAAGGAUGUUUUCAUUGAUCAAGAACGAAAGUAUGGGGAUCGAAGAUGAUUAGAUACCGUCGUAGUCCAUACCAUAAACUAUGCCGACUAGAGAUUGGAGGUCGUUCUUUUAUUGACUCCUUCAGCACCUUAUGAGAAAUCAAAGUCUUUGGGUUCCGGGGGGAGUAUGGUCGCAAGGCUGAAACUUAAAGGAAUUGACGGAAGGGCACCACCAGGAGUGGAGCCUGCGGCUUAAUUUGACUCAACACGGGAAAACUCACCAGGUCCAGACAUAGUAAGGAUUGACAGAUUGAUAGCUCUUUCU
Molecule: ribosomal RNA, 637 nt
Filed under: uncultured marine eukaryote
Lineage: Eukaryota
Description: SSU rRNA
Rfam family: Eukaryotic small subunit ribosomal RNA
Source: RNAcentral